This is a long non-coding RNA of Oncorhynchus tshawytscha (Chinook salmon), 1854 nucleotides long. RefSeq lists it as uncharacterized. The record is from RefSeq and is a predicted model, not a curated record. The transcript has 2 exons. Lineage: Eukaryota; Metazoa; Chordata; Actinopteri; Salmoniformes; Salmonidae.
UUUUGUGGUAUAUGGCCAAUAUACCAUGGCUAAGGGCUAGGUCCAAAGAACAGCCAUUAACCGUGGUAUAUUGGCCAUAUACCACACCUCCUAGGGCAUCAUUACUUAAUUAUAGCAGUCAAAACAAGUUAAAUCGUCAUCCAUUGAUAGAAAAUUAUCUUGAGAUAAAGGGCAAUUUAUAUUUUGUCUUGCGACAUAUUCUUAAACUUACAAGAAUUAUUACUUUGAUGGAAAAACAAAUGUUGCUUCUUAGCCUACAUCGUAAAAAAUGACGUAUUCCUUAACGCUCGAUAACGUUAUAGAAAAAGGAUUUCAUGGAUACAUGUGGCAACUCCUCUCUUGCUGCGAAAACAUAUUUUUGGCUAGUUUUCAGGCCUUGUGUGCGAGUUUUCAGAGGUCAUAGGGCUAGAAAUUUGAGGUGGCCCUGGCAACACUGAGCAUGACAGUUAAACCCAGGGAGUUCUUUCAGAAAAUGGCAGAAUGCUUCAGCAAACAGUGCUUUGACAGUGGAAAGAAAUAGCAGAGGAUACUGCUGAUGAUGCUGGCGAAGGUCCAGACUCCGAUGCUGAGUCGGACCCAGAAGAUGCUCUUCCCGUGGACGUGAGGCUGCAUGCACAGAGACACCAAGGUCUGCACCAGGAUGUACAGUGCCCCCACGCCAAACGUCAAUAUUGCCCCCACCAGGUGCAUGGAGAACAGAGUCGUUUUCUGGAUGUUGUUGAGAGAGAGAAUGAUUUUAUAGUACCACAUUUACAUACACUGUCAUCAAAACAAACAGGAACAAGACUCUCUCACACACACACGUGUCAAUGGGUACCUGAAAGUUAGCAACAAUGCACAUGCCAAAGGAGCUGGUCCAUCCCAGCACCAAACCCAAGAGGUUGAGUUUAUGCAGCUUCGACUCCUCUUCGACUGUCAAGGCUUGGACCUGCUUGUAGCGUACGUACAUGGUGGCUAUGCCUGCCACGACAAACACGAUCACAAAUCAAAACAGUCACAAAUUCGGUCAGGUUUAUAGCUGGUUUCAAAUGUAUUGCUAGAUUCCAAAGAGGAAUCCGAGAGAUAAUGGUGGUGUUACCUAAGUAUGCUGAGAUGUCCAGCAUGAUUCCAAACACACAUCUCUCUGGGGCAACCGUCCCUGUGUCGCUGUGAACAGAAACAUGACCAUCAAAAAUGUAAUCUCCCACUCUCACAAUGUAAUGUACAAUUGUAAUACAUGUAAAAUUGUGUCUACUACUUAUAAAGUGAAGUGAUUGCAAGUAUAAUGGUACAAAGGCACAGAGGAUGGUGUUGAGCCUGUGUCUGACCUGAUGUAUGGCACCAGUGGGUCCACAUGUUUCAGCAGCACAGCAGUGAUGUAAGCAAAGAUGAACGUGGCCGCCGUCCAUAAUACCAAAGCCACCGGUAGAAUACAAAGACCCUGCUGGAACCACCACAUAUCCUCUGCUGUGUGUGUCAAACCACCAGUAGCCUAUCCAAAUUAGACCACAGAUGCUGGUAUAUUGCCUUCACCUGUAGAUAUUGGAUUAUGUGAAGCACCACACACACACAGAGAAAAAUAGCUGAAGCUGCUGCACACUUGUUUCCUCAUUCUGGAUAAAAGCUCAGUAUCAAGAGACUACAAUGUAUUCCUGCCACGUGAUCGCAUUUCUCAGUUCCUCUACUAGUUGUGUGGCUUGAUGUAGUCAAGUGACUUGAGAUACAGAGCGAGCUAGUUACAUUUGGUAGGCUACAAUGUAUUUAUUUUUUAAAUAACCUUUAUUUAACUAGGCAAGUCAGUUAAGAACAAAUUCUUAUUUGAAAUGAUGCUACAAUACACGCUACUGUUUAAUAAAAUAAGUAGAGUGAACAAGA